Molecule: ribosomal RNA, 396 nt
Filed under: uncultured bacterium
Lineage: Bacteria
Description: bacterial SSU rRNA
Rfam family: Bacterial small subunit ribosomal RNA
Source: RNAcentral
AUUGAACGCUGGCGGCAUGCCUUACACAUGCAAGUCGAACGGCAGCGGGGACUUCGGUCCGCCGGCGAGUGGCGAACGGGUGAGUAAAGUAUCGGAACGUACCUUUCAGUGGGGGAUAACGUAGCGAAAGUUACGCUAAUACCGCAUAUUCUGUGAGCAGGAAAGCAGGGGAUCGCAAGACCUUGCGCUGAUUGAGCGGCCGAUAUCAGAUUAGCUAGUUGGUGAGGUAAAGGCUCACCAAGGCGACGAUCUGUAGCGGGUCUGAGAGGAUGAUCCGCCACACUGGAACUGAGACACGGUCCAGACUCCUACGGGAGGCAGCAGUGGGGAAUUUUGGACAAUGGGGGCAACCCUGAUCCAGCCAUGCCGCGUGAGUGAAGAAGGCCUCGGUUGUAA